GUCAGAAAAGAUAAUAGAUAGAAAAUAAACAACCAUUACACUUUAGCGUUUAACGAAAGAGAAACUAGGGCAUCCGCCGCGAGCAAAGCUUGCAUAACAGGGGGAGGAAAAAGAGUCCAAUUUGGGGACAGAUCCGAUCGGCCAUGAGCUUUGGCCGCCCAGUCUGCGACGAAAUUGGCUCUCCUGUCACAGUGCUGCAAACGGAGAUUCAAGAAAAGGGGCAAGAUUGACUGGAUUUCGUCAAAGAGCGGGCGAUCCUCCCAUGGUGGCGGCCGUCGGUCGUGAAGGAUUUCAACCAAUUGCAAACAGUCCGAUUCGAGAACGAUUGAUGCGGUGAGAAGUCCCUGUUGUUUGAGUCGAUGUAGAGUUAGGGUUAGCGCCUGUGUUUCCGCUUGGAAAGCCGAAUUUGCUCGAAAUCUGGCCGCGUAGACAUCAGUGAGUAAACAUCUGUGAUCUCGGCUAAUACAGGCCAUGGUGCCGUAUCUAUUCCCAGGGGAGAAGGAGCCGUCAAUAUUGCAUUUGAUGAAGCCCGGUUCUGGCGAUCGCCACCGGUAUUCUUUGGAAGCAAGAGGGGCAUAUGUACGUAGACCAACUCCUUGGGAAGCUGUUUGGGCAGAGAGGGUGACAAUCCGAUGCUGAGCCAAGGCAUCAAUAACAGCCAGAUUGGGGUUAGGAAGUAAGCCACGGAAAACACUGUUGUUGCGCAGCCGCCACAUCUGCCAUAAAACAUGGGUUAUCAUGGGUAGUCGAGGUAAGAGUUUCUGAUCUUUAAUUGAUUCUGCAAGCCAUUGAUCCAUGCGAGUGAUCAUAGUUGGGUGGAAGGGGAACUGCUGUUGAAAAUGUGACCAUACUCCCGCCGUCCACGGACAAUGGAAAAAAAUAUGUUCAACUGUUUCAGGCACAUUCUGAUUGCAUAUAGUGCACAUAGGGCUUGAGAUGAUAUGUCUGGUAUAUAAAUUGGACUUAGUAGCUAGGGCGUUGUGACAUGCCGACCAUAGAAAUAUGCGAAGUUUCGGUGUACUGUGCAUUUUCCAUAUGUAACGCCAUAGCUCAGGAGGUGGGUGGUAGGAAGUAGAUGCCAUAUUACCUUGCGAUAAAUUUGCUGGUGCUGUCAAGAUUCUGUAGUUACUCUUUACUGUAUACUGCCCUGUGGUUGUUGCUGUCCAAAUAAUCUGAUCAGUUGAGUGGAGAGGUCUUAAUGGAAUGUUGAGGAUUUCGUCGGCAAUAGAGUCGUCGAACAUUUGUGUAAUAAGGUGGGUCUUCCAAGUCUGGUGGAGAGGAUCAAUAAGAUCCGCCACCAACCGGGGCUCAUCUCUAUUGGCAGGUCCGCCAAGCUUACCUCUCGGUAACCAGCAGUGUUCCCUAAUGUUAAUUGAUUUUCCGUCCCCAACAGACCAUCUUGCAUUCGGUAAGAUGGCAUUCCGCCCAACUAGAAUACUUCGCCAGCCCCAGGAAGGGCGAGAACCAGGCUCUGCGAAUUCGAAAUCCUUUGAGGGAAAAUAUAAUCCUUUAAGGAUUCGGCCCCAAAGCGAUUGAGGUUGCUGUAGUAACCUCCAGGCCUGCUUGCCAAGCAUGGCAUUGUUAAAAACUACCAAAUCCCGAAAGCCUAACCCACCAGAAUUUUUGCCUGUCGUUAGCAAGUCCCAUUUCUUCCAAUGCACACCAUUCCUGUUCUUGUCAUUCCGCCACCAAAAAUUGGCAAUCCUCCGCUCAAUUGUUCGACAUAGAGAUAGGGGAAGCUUAAAGAUUGACAUGGCGUAUUGCGGCAUAGCUUGGAUGAUAGACUUGAGAAGGAUUUCCUUUCCGCCUUUUGAUAGCAACAUUUCUUUCCAACCCUCCAACUUUGCAUGUACUCUUCCUAAUAGCCAGCCAAAUAAUUCUUUUUUGGAACGACCCCAUUCUGAUGGAACUCCUAGGUACUUGCCAUAACCACUCAACACCGGUACACGCAAUUCAGCAGCCAAGUUAGUUUGAAGACUAGGUGGACAGCCUUUGCUAAAGUAGAGGCCAGACUUAUUGCGGUUUAUGACUUGUCCAGAAGCGUGACAAUAUUGGUUUAAGAUAUUGGCCAUAUUCUGACAUUCAAGGAUAGUACCAUUGAGGAAGAAAACAGAAUCAUCAGCAAAGAAUAAAUGUGAGAGUGUGGGGCAUGACCUGGUAAGUGUGAUUCCGCAAAGAUGUCCCAUCGUAAGAGCGUUCUGAAUGAGGGUGGAUAGAACAUUGGCCAUUAAAAUAAAGAGAUAUGGAGAAAGAGGGUCUCCUUGUCUGAGUCCUUUUGAUGGCUUGAAAUAGGGUAGAGAUUCCCCAUUAAAUUUAACACUCAUUGUCGUCGUGGUAAUACAGUACAUUACCAUCUGAACCCACCAAGGAUGAAAUCCCAGUUUGAGAAGGUAGGCUUGAAGGAAAUCCCAUUCAACUUUGUCGUAAGCCUUCUGCAUAUCAGUCUUAAGAAUAGCUUGGAAGUGUCUUUUCCGAUGCCUCGUUUUGAAAUGAUGGAGGACCUCGUGUACAACAAAGACAUUAUCUUGUAUUUGACGGCCAGAUACAAAAGCAGCUUGCUCAGGUGAUACCAGUUGUUCUAACAUAGGUUUGAGUCGGUUGGCCAUGACUUUAGAUAUAACCUUAUAUGCAAAGUUACACAAACUUAUCGGUCUAAACUGGUCAAGAAUUUCAGGAUGGUGUACUUUGGGAAUCAAAACAAUAAGAGUCUUAUUGAGGUCUGGAGGGAACUUACCAUAGUGAAAAAAGUCGUUGACCAGACAGAAUAAAUCAUGAUGGAUGGUAGGCCAAUGGGUUUGGUAGAACAAACCAUUAAAACCGUCGGGGCCCGGAGCUUUUGUAGCACCCAGUUGGAAAGUAGCUUGUCGUAGCUCUUCAAUCGUCACUUGGGCCAAUAAUUGUGCAUUCAUUGUGUCUGUUACAAGUGAUGAACAUUGAUCUAGGACGGGGCCAAAGUCACGGUGGCCUGCUGAUGUAUAAAGCUGAGUAAAAUAAACAGAAGUCAGCUCUUUUAAAUCUACUAUAUCCCUCACCCAUUCAUCGUCAGCCUUCCGAAGCAUUCGNNNNNNNNNNNNNNNNNNNNNNNNNNNNNNNNNNNNNNNNNNNNNNNNNNNNNNNNNNNNNNNNNNNNNNNNNNNNNNNNNNNNNNNNNNNNNNNNNNNNAUAGCCGUAAGGGCUUGGACUGUCAGGGGAUUGCCCAACCCCUGACAGUUCCAACAUAAAAGCUUCAUUUGUAACUUGGUGGCUGUUGAGGGCCAGCCACUAAAGCCCGAUGGAGUGCUUCAUCUGCUGCCAUUACCGGUGUUUCCUGGAGACGUGUCUCAUCUAGCUGAUCAAAUACAACACUGCCCUUAUCAUAGGGAGCGUAGCGUUUUUGUUUCUUUGCAUGUCCUGCUCUUGUAGUAGUACGGGUGUUUUUUGCUCUUCGAGAUUGCUGAAUAUCCGUUGGAAAGUCGCUAAGACUCUGUUCUAUGUCUAUUGCAGGAAUAUGACAGGAGGGGAUAGUGCUUACCUG
This 3514-nucleotide long non-coding RNA is filed under the name Eucalyptus grandis. Its description in RNAcentral is "long non-coding RNA (EGRA_LNC003690)". The record is from RNAcentral. Lineage: Eukaryota; Viridiplantae; Streptophyta; Magnoliopsida; Myrtales; Myrtaceae.